RNAcentral lists this ribosomal RNA (465 nucleotides) under Vreelandella stevensii. Its description in RNAcentral is "partial 16S ribosomal RNA". It matches the Rfam family "Bacterial small subunit ribosomal RNA", at positions 338 to 795 of the family's 1533-position model. The record is from RNAcentral. Lineage: Bacteria; Pseudomonadati; Pseudomonadota; Gammaproteobacteria; Oceanospirillales; Halomonadaceae.
CCUACGGGUGGCAGCAGUGGGGAAUAUUGGACAAUGGGGGCAACCCUGAUCCAGCCAUGCCGCGUGUGUGAAGAAGGCCCUCGGGUUGUAAAGCACUUUCAGUGAGGAAGAACGCCUGGUGGUUAAUACCCAUCAGGAAAGACAUCACUCACAGAAGAAGCACCGGCUAACUCCGGGCCAGCAGCCGCGGUAAUACGGAGGGUGCGAGCGUUAAUCGGAAUUACUGGGCGUAAAGCGAGCGUAGGUGGCUUGAUAAGCCGGUUGUGAAAGCCCCGGGCUCAACCUGGGAACGGCAUCCGGAACUGUCAAGCUAGAGUGCAGGAGAGGAAGGUAGAAUUCCCGGUGUAGCGGUGAAAUGCGUAGAGAUCGGGAGGAAUACCAGUGGCGAAGGCGGCCUUCUGGACUGACACUGACACUGAGGUGCGAAAGCGUGGGUAGCAAACAGGAUUAGAUACCCCUGUAGUC